AGUGAACGCUGGCGGUAGGCCUAACACAUGCAAGUCGAACGGCAGCACAGGAGAGCUUGCUCUCUGGGUGGCGAGUGGCGGACAGGUGAGGAAUACAUCGGAAUCUACUCUGUCGUGGGGGAUAACGUAGGGAAACUUACGCUAAUACCGCAUACGACCUACGGGUGAAAGCAGGGGACCUUCGGGCCUUGCGCGAUUGAAUGAGCCGAUGUCGGAUUAGCUAGUUGGCGGGGUAAAGGCCCACCAAGGCGACGAUCCGUAGCUGGUCUGAGAGGAUGGUCAGCAACCCUGAAACUGAGACACGGUCCAGACUCCUACGGGAGGCAGCAGUGGGGAAUAUUGGAAAAUGGGCGCAAGCCUGAUCCAGCCAUACCGCGUGGGUGAAGAAGGCCUUCGGGUUGUAAAGCCCUUUUGUUGGGAAAGAAAUCCAGCUGGCUAAUACCCGGUUGGGAUGACGGCACCCAAAGAAUAAGCACCGGCUAACUUCGUGCCAGCCGCCGCGGUAA
RNAcentral lists this ribosomal RNA (506 nucleotides) under uncultured bacterium. RNAcentral describes it as "partial 16S ribosomal RNA". It matches the Rfam family "Bacterial small subunit ribosomal RNA", at positions 29 to 523 of the family's 1533-position model. The record is from RNAcentral.